RNAcentral lists this ribosomal RNA (558 nucleotides) under Escherichia coli. RNAcentral's name for it is "bacterial SSU rRNA". It matches the Rfam family "Bacterial small subunit ribosomal RNA", at positions 108 to 662 of the family's 1533-position model. Lineage: Bacteria; Pseudomonadati; Pseudomonadota; Gammaproteobacteria; Enterobacterales; Enterobacteriaceae. The record is from RNAcentral.
GAGUAAUGUCUGGGAAACUGCCUGAUGGAGGGGGAUAACUACUGGAAACGGUAGCUAAUACCGCAUAACGUCGCAAGACCAAAGAGGGGGACCUUCGGGCCUCUUGCCAUCGGAUGUGCCCAGAUGGGAUUAGCUAGUAGGUGGGGUAAAGGCUCACCUAGGCGACGAUCCCUAGCUGGUCUGAGAGGAUGACCAGCCACACUGGAACUGAGACACGGUCCAGACUCCUACGGGAGGCAGCAGUGGGGAAUAUUGCACAAUGGGCGCAAGCCUGAUGCAGCCAUGCCGCGUGUAUGAAGAAGGCCUUCGGGUUGUAAAGUACUUUCAGCGGGGAGGAAGGGAGUAAAGUUAAUACCUUUGCUCAUUGACGUUACCCGCAGAAGAAGCACCGGCUAACUCCGUGCCAGCAGCCGCGGUAAUACGGAGGGUGCAAGCGUUAAUCGGAAUUACUGGGCGUAAAGCGCACGCAGGCGGUUUGUUAAGUCAGAUGUGAAAUCCCCGGGCUCAACCUGGGAACUGCAUCUGAUACUGGCAAGCUUGAGUCUCGUAGAGGGGGGU